UACGUAGGGGGCAAGCGUUGUCCGGAUUUAUUGGGCGUAAAGAGCGUGUAGGCGGUUUGGUAGGUCCGUUGUGAAAACUCGAGGCUCAACCUCGAGACGCCGAUGGAAACCAUCAGACUAGAGUCCGGAAGAGGAGAGUGGAAUUCCUGGUGUAGCGGUGAAAUGCGCAGAUAUCAGGAAGAACACCCGUGGCGAAGGCGGCUCUCUAGUACGGUACUGACGCUGAGGUGCGAAAGCGUGGGGAGCAAACAGG
Molecule: ribosomal RNA, 253 nt
Filed under: uncultured bacterium
Lineage: Bacteria
Description: partial 16S ribosomal RNA
Rfam family: Bacterial small subunit ribosomal RNA
Source: RNAcentral